This 77-nucleotide transfer RNA is filed under the name Deltaproteobacteria bacterium. Its description in RNAcentral is "tRNA-Met". It matches the Rfam family "tRNA". Rfam says of the family: Transfer RNA (tRNA) molecules are approximately 80 nucleotides in length. Their secondary structure includes four short double-helical elements and three loops (D, anti-codon, and T loops). Further hydrogen bonds mediate the characteristic L-shaped molecular structure. tRNAs have two regions of fundamental functional importance: the anti-codon, which is responsible for specific mRNA codon recognition, and the 3' end, to which the tRNAs corresponding amino acid is attached (by aminoacyl-tRNA synthetases). tRNAs cope with the degeneracy of the genetic code in two manners: having more than one tRNA (with a specific anti-codon) for a particular amino acid; and 'wobble' base-pairing, i.e. permitting non-standard base-pairing at the 3rd anti-codon position. The record is from RNAcentral. Lineage: Bacteria; Pseudomonadati; Myxococcota; Myxococcia.
UGCGGGGUGGAGCAGUAUGGUAGCUCGUGGGGCUCAUAAGCCGCAGGUAAGAGGUUCAAAUCCUAUCCCCGCUACCA